RNAcentral lists this long non-coding RNA (228 nucleotides) under Elaeis guineensis (African oil palm). Its description in RNAcentral is "long non-coding RNA (EGUI_LNC068779)". The record is from RNAcentral. Lineage: Eukaryota; Viridiplantae; Streptophyta; Magnoliopsida; Arecales; Arecaceae.
UCAUUAACUCCAGUUCUCCGAUAUUGAAUGAUUUCUCACACCAACAGAUUGAUGCUAGGAGGGCUUUUGACCCAUUUUUGAAGGAGCGUAGAUUGAAAGCAGAUAUUAUGCCACUAAAGUGAGUCUCAUUCUGUCUUACCAAUUCCAUCGCCUCCCGAUGAGCGGAGAGCAAUGCCCAUAAAAAUUAGGUACAACCACCUGCAACAGAGACUCCUCUGCCAAUCCAGC